UACGUAGGGUGCAAGCGUUAAUCGGAAUUACGUGGGACGUAAGCGUGCGCAGGCGGUUAUGUAAGACAGAUGUAGAAACGUCCCCGGGCUCAACCGUGGGAACUGCAUUUGUGACUGCAUAGCUAGAGUACGGCAGAGGGGGAUGGAAUUCCGCGUGUAGCAGCGAAAUGCGUAGAUAUGCGGAGGAACACCGAUGGCGAAGGCAAUCCCCUGGGCCUGUACUGACGCUCAUGCACGAAAGCGUGGGGAGCAAACAGGAUUAGAACUCCGGUAGU
RNAcentral lists this ribosomal RNA (275 nucleotides) under uncultured bacterium. Its description in RNAcentral is "partial 16S ribosomal RNA". It matches the Rfam family "Bacterial small subunit ribosomal RNA", at positions 524 to 794 of the family's 1533-position model. The record is from RNAcentral.